RNAcentral lists this ribosomal RNA (200 nucleotides) under uncultured bacterium. Its description in RNAcentral is "partial 16S ribosomal RNA". It matches the Rfam family "Bacterial small subunit ribosomal RNA", at positions 8 to 200 of the family's 1533-position model. The record is from RNAcentral.
AGAGUUUGAUCCUGGCUCAGGACGAACGCUGGCGGCGUGCCUAAUACAUGCAAGUCGAGCGGGGUUAGGAGGGAGCUUGCUCCCAAAUAACCUAGCGGCGGACGGGUGAGUAAUACGCAGGCAACCUGCCCACAAGAUCGGGAUAACUUCCGGAAACGGGUGCUAAGACCGAAUACGCAUCGAGAACGCAUGUUCUUGAU